CUUAAACACUUGUCCUGUACUCUCCCCUGUCCCUUCUUCUGUGGGCCAUAGCAUAGAUGUGGUAGAGACCCAGGUUUGGCAACACUGAAGAGGAAUGGUAUGACAUCAGGGAAUGGUAAUGCAGCAGAAAGGAAGGAACUUGCGUCCUUUAAUGACCUAGAGGAGUCAAUCUACUUCACCACCUGGACCAGCGGGACUGUAAUGUGAGAAAUACAUUUCUAUCUAUGUGUCCAUUAGCCGAACCUAAGUGAGAAAAAGGAAGUGGAGGAAGAGGAAGAAGAAUAAAAAAAAACAGAAGGCAAGCAGGAGAUAGAAGACUGAACAGGAGCAGGAAGAGGAGAAGAAAGAAGAAUCAGAAAAAAAGUGAAAGAGAAAUAAUUCACUGAAUGAUCCUACCUGGAUUCCAAACAUUUCCAAAUGGCUCUUCCCACAAGUUAUGGGUAACUUGGGAAUUCGCUCUCCUGAUGCUACCAGCAAAAGAUUCAAAAAGGUCUUUCAUGAGAUCCCUCUCCAUUCUGUUAUAAAAAUCAUCAGCUAAUAUGUUUUCAAGGAUUUGCCAGGUUGAGAGAACUAAACAUGAGUGUCCGGAUUAAAAGUGACCACCCAUCCAAUAGCUAGAAAAGUGAAUAAAAAGAAAGAACUGAGACGAACAAAGGAAGGCAUGCGUUCUGAGAAACCUGGGCAUGAACAUAGGAGGGGGUGAAGAAAAAUCUCAGGAUGACAGCCAUGCAACAGAUUUGGACCUAUAUGGCUUUCAUCCAUUUUCAGAAAUCAAAUCUACUCACAGUGGAUAAAAAUUUGCCAUAAAUAAGGAUACUCAAGAGGAUGUGCCACUAACUUGGGAAUCAAAGGAAGAAAUCAAAGAUGUUUUAAUCAUGGUGCUUCAUUGGAAUCAGUGCUUCUUCUCUUAAGAUUCCUUUUCUUUGUCAUUAUGGAAGAAAAUGAGAAAUUCUGAAUUCUCAACCUCCGUUCAGUAAAAGUAAUAAUAAUAAGGAAAAACACUACCAAGCUUCUUCUUGAAAGCAUCCAUCAAGUGUGUCAGGAUAACCUGGUGAAGUGCAUGUACGGUAAAAUCUCUUCAUUUCUUGAUAAACUUUGGACAACACAGUCUGCAUGCACAGCAUCUAACAGAAGCUGAGGAAUGGCGCAUCCUUUCCUUGUUCCUGGUCUCAAAAGAGGACUUUCAAAAUGCUAAGGUGAAGGAAUCAAGAAACAAGUGAUUUGCUGAAUGUUGUAUAAGUGGCAUUUUGUAUGCUGAACCCAAGUCCACAGACUCAAAAUU
Long non-coding RNA from Mirounga angustirostris (Northern elephant seal), 1282 nucleotides. RefSeq lists it as uncharacterized. The record is from RefSeq and is a predicted model, not a curated record. The transcript has 11 exons. Lineage: Eukaryota; Metazoa; Chordata; Mammalia; Carnivora; Phocidae.